Molecule: non-coding RNA, 147 nt
Filed under: Homo sapiens (human)
Lineage: Eukaryota; Metazoa; Chordata; Mammalia; Primates; Hominidae
Source: Rfam by way of RNAcentral
GCCGGGCAUGGUGGCGCAUGCCUGUAAUCCCAGCUACUAGGGAGGCUGAGGCAGGAGAAUCGCUUGAACCUGGGAGGCGGAGGUUGCGGUGAGCCAAGAUCGUGCCAUUGCACUCAACCCUGGUGACAGAGCGAGAUUCCGUCUCAA